Molecule: ribosomal RNA, 1054 nt
Filed under: uncultured bacterium
Lineage: Bacteria
Description: bacterial SSU rRNA
Rfam family: Bacterial small subunit ribosomal RNA
Source: RNAcentral
AGAGUUUGAUCCUGGCUCAGGACGAACGCUGGCGGCGUGCCUAAUACAUGCAAGUAGAACGCUGAAGGAGGAGCUUGCUUCUCUGGAUGAGUUGCGAACGGUCGAGUGACGCGCAGGUGACCUGCCUGGGAGCGGGGGAUAACUAUUGGAAACAAUCGCUAAGACCGCAAAAGAGUAUAUGUUGCAUGACAUUUGCUUAAAAGGUGGAAUUGCGUCACUACCCGAUGGACCUGCAUGGUAUUAGCUAGGUGGUGAGGUAACGGCUCACCAAGGCGACCAUACAUAACCAACCUGAGAGGAUGAUCGGCCACACUGGGACUGAGACACGGUCCAAACUCCUACGGGAGGCAACAGUAGGGAAUCUUCGGCAAUGGACGGAAGUCUGACCGAGCAACGCCGCGUGAGUGAAGAAGGUUUUCGGAUCGUAAAGCUCUGUUGUAAGAGAAGAACGAGUGUGAGAGUGGAAAGUUCACACUGUGACGGUAUCUUACCAGAAAGGGACGGCUAACUACGUGCCAGCAGCCGCGGUAAUACGUAGGUCCCGAGCGUUGUCCGGAUUUAUUGGGCGUAAAGCGAGCGCAGGCGGUUAGAUAAGUCUGAAGUUAAAGGCUGUGGCUUAACCAUAGUACGCUUUGGAAACUGUUUAACUUGAGUGCAAGAGGGGAGAGUGGAAUUCCAUGUGUAGCGGUGAAAUGCGUAGAUAUAUGGAGGAACACCGGUGGCUAAAGCGGCUCUCUGGCUUGUAACUGACACUGAGGCUCGAAAGCGUGAGAGCUAACCUGAUUAGAUACCCUGUUAGUCCACGACUGUAAACUAUGAGUGCUAGGUGUUAGACCCUUUCCGGGGUUUAGUGCCGCAUCUAACGCAUUAGCACUCGGUCUGAGGAGUACGACCGCAGGAUUUAACUCAACCAUUGACGCGUGCCAGCACAGCGUUGGUCAUGUGAUCUAAUUCAAACUACGCGACAACUUACAGUCCUGACAUCCUCUGACGCUCUAGAGAUAGAGUUUCAUUCGGGAAUGAGUGACAGUCGUUGCUAGGUUGCGUGCAACUC